Molecule: ribosomal RNA, 455 nt
Filed under: uncultured bacterium
Lineage: Bacteria
Description: bacterial SSU rRNA
Rfam family: Bacterial small subunit ribosomal RNA
Source: RNAcentral
UACGGGAGGCAGCAGUGGGAAAUAUUGCACAAUGGGCGCAAGCCUGAUGCAGCCAUGCCGCGUGUAUGAAAAAGGCCUUCGGGUUGUAAAGUACUUUCAGUCGUGAGGAAGGUGUUAAGGUUAAUAACCUUAGCAAUUGACGUUAGCGACAGAAGAAGCACCGGCUAACUCCGUGCCAGCAGCCGCGGUAAUACGGAGGGUGCGAGCGUUAAUCGGAAUUACUGGGCGUAAAGGGCACGCAGGCGGUUAAUUAAGUUGGAUGUGAAAUCCCCGGGCUUAACCUGGGAAUGGCAUUCAAGACUGGUUAGCUAGAGUCUUGUAGAGGGGGUAGAAUUCCAUGUGUAGCGGUGAAAUGCGUAGAGAUGUGGAGGAAUACCGGUGGCGAAGGCGGCCCCUGGGACAAAGGACUGACGCUCAUGUGCGAAAGCGUGGGGAGCAAACAGGGAUUAGAUACC